Molecule: ribosomal RNA, 2217 nt
Filed under: Listeria monocytogenes
Lineage: Bacteria; Bacillati; Bacillota; Bacilli; Caryophanales; Listeriaceae
Description: partial 23S ribosomal RNA
Rfam family: Bacterial large subunit ribosomal RNA
Source: RNAcentral
ACCGAUAGUGAACCAGUACCGUGAGGGAAAGGUGAAAAGCACCCCGGAAGGGGAGUGAAACAGUUCCUGAAACCGUGUGCCUACAAGUAGUUAGAGCCCGUUAAUGGGUGAUAGCGUGCCUUUUGUAGAAUGAACCGGCGAGUUACGAUUUGUUGCAAGGUUAAGCGGAAAAAGCGGAGCCGUAGCGAAAGCGAGUCUGAAUAGGGCGCAUAAGUAACAGGUCGUAGACCCGAAACCAGGUGAUCUACCCAUGUCCAGGAUGAAGGUAAGGUAAUACUUACUGGAGGUCCGAACCCACGCACGUUGAAAAGUGCGGGGAUGAGGUGUGGGUAGCGGAGAAAUUCCAAUCGAACUUGGAGAUAGCUGGUUCUCUCCGAAAUAGCUUUAGGGCUAGCCUCGAGGUAAAGAGUCAUGGAGGUAGAGCACUGUUUGGACUAGGGGCCCUUCUCGGGUUACCGAAUUCAGAUAAACUCCGAAUGCCAUGUACUUAUACUCGGGAGUCAGACUGCGAGUGAUAAGAUCCGUAGUCGAAAGGGAAACAGCCCAGACCACCAGUUAAGGUCCCCAAAUAUAUGUUAAGUGGAAAAGGAUGUGGGGUUGCUUAGACAACCAGGAUGUUGGCUUAGAAGCAGCCACCAUUGAAAGAGUGCGUAAUAGCUCACUGGUCGAGUGACCCCGCGCCGAAAAUGUACCGGGGCUAAACAUAUUACCGAAACUGUGGAUGAACCUCUUUAGAGGUUCGUGGUAGGAGAGCGUUCUAAGGGCGGUGAAGUCAGACCGGAAGGACUGGUGGAGCGCUUAGAAGUGAGAAUGCCGGUAUGAGUAGCGAAAGAAGGGUGAGAAUCCCUUCCACCGAAUAUCUAAGGUUUCCUGAGGAAGGCUCGUCCGCUCAGGGUUAGUCGGGACCUAAGCCGAGGCCGAUAGGCGUAGGCGAUGGACAACAGGUAGAGAUUCCUGUACCAGUGCUAAUUGUUUAACCGAUGGGGUGACACAGAAGGAUAGGGAAUCGCACGAAUGGAAAUGUGCGUCCAAGCAGUGAGUGUGAGAAGUAGGCAAAUCCGCUUCUCGCGAAGCAUGAGCUGUGAUGGGGAAGGAAAUUAAGUACGGAAGUUCCUGAUUUCACGCUGUCAAGAAAAGCCUCUAGGAAGAGUAGUACUGCCCGUACCGCAAACCGACACAGGUAGAUGAGGAGAGAAUCCUAAGGUGAGCGAGAGAACUCUCGUUAAGGAACUCGGCAAAAUGACCCCGUAACUUCGGGAGAAGGGGUGCUCUAUUAGGGUGCAAGCCCGAGAGAGCCGCAGUGAAUAGGCCCAGGCGACUGUUUAGCAAAAACACAGGUCUCUGCAAAACCGUAAGGUGACGUAUAGGGGCUGACGCCUGCCCGGUGCUGGAAGGUUAAGAGGAGUGCUUAGCUUCGGCGAAGGUACGAAUUGAAGCCCCAGUAAACGGCGGCCGUAACUAUAACGGUCCUAAGGUAGCGAAAUUCCUUGUCGGGUAAGUUCCGACCCGCACGAAAGGCGCAACGAUCUGGGCACUGUCUCAACGAGAGACUCGGUGAAAUUAUAGUACCUGUGAAGAUGCAGGUUACCCGCGACAGGACGGAAAGACCCCGUGGAGCUUUACUGCAACCUGAUAUGGAAUGUUUGUACCGCUUGUACAGGAUAGGUAGGAGCCGAAGAGACGUGUGCGCUAGCAUACGAGGAGGCAAUGGUGGGAUACUACCCUGGCUGUAUGACCAUUCUAACCCGCCACGCUUAGCGCGUGGGGAGACAGUGUCAGGUGGGCAGUUUGACUGGGGCGGUCGCCUCCUAAAGAGUAACGGAGGCGCCCAAAGGUUCCCUCAGAAUGGAUGGAAAUCAUUCGCAGAGUGUAAAGGCACAAGGGAGCUUGACUGCGAGACUGACAAGUCGAGCAGGGACGAAAGUCGGGCUUAGUGAUCCGGUGGUUCCGCAUGGAAGGGCCAUCGCUCAACGGAUAAAAGCUACCCCGGGGAUAACAGGCUUAUCUCCCCCAAGAGUCCACAUCGACGGGGAGGUUUGGCACCUCGAUGUCGGCUCGUCGCAUCCUGGGGCUGUAGUCGGUCCCAAGGGUUGGGCUGUUCGCCCAUUAAAGCGGCACGCGAGCUGGGUUCAGAACGUCGUGAGACAGUUCGGUCCCUAUCCGUCGCGGGCGCAGGAAAUUUGAGAGGAGCUGUCCUUAGUACGAGAGGACCGGGAU